UACAGAGGUCCCAAGCGUUGUUCGGAUUUACUGGGCGUAAAGGGCGCGUAGGCGGCGCGGUAAGUCACUUGUGAAAUCUCUGAGCUUAACUCAGAACGGCCAAGUGAUACUGCAGUGCUAGAGUGUGGAAGGGGCAAUCGGAAUUCUUGGUGUAGCGGUGAAAUGCGUAGAUAUCCGGAGGAACACCAGUGGCGAAAGCGGCCACCUGGACUGUACCUGACGCUCAAACACGAAAGCUAGGGGAGCGAACGGG
This 253-nucleotide ribosomal RNA is filed under the name uncultured bacterium. RNAcentral describes it as "partial 16S ribosomal RNA". It matches the Rfam family "Bacterial small subunit ribosomal RNA", at positions 524 to 776 of the family's 1533-position model. The record is from RNAcentral.